CCUACGGGAGGCAGCAGUAAGGAAUAUUGGACAAUGCUCGCAAGAGUGAUCCAGCCAUGCCGCGUGCAGGAAGAAUGCCCUAUGGGUAGUAAACUGCUUUUGAACUAGAGAAAAUCCCAGUACGUGUACUGGGCUGAUAGUAUAGUUAGAAUAAGCAUCGGCUAACUUCGUGCCAGCAGCCGCGGUAAGACGAAGGAUGCAAGCGUUAUCCGGAUUCAUUGGGUUUAAGGGGAGCGUAGGUGGACUGAUAAGUCAGUGGUGAAAUCUCCGAGCUUAACUCGGAAAUUGCCAUUGAUACUGUUGGUCUUGAGUACAGUUGCUGUGGGCGGAAUAUGACAUGUAGUGGUGAAAUACAUAGAGAUGUCAUAGAACACCGAUUGCGAAGGCAGCUCACAAAGCUGUAACUGACACUGAGGCUCGAAAGUGCGGGGAUCAAACAGGAUUAGAUACCCUGGUAGUCCGCACCGUAAACGAUGAUUACUCGCUGCUAGGGGGCAACCUUUAGUGGCUUAGCGAAAGCGAUAAGUAAUCCACCUGGGGAGUACGCCGGCAAACGGUGAAACGUCAAAGAGUAGUUACGGCGNGNGAGNGCGACGACGACGACGAGGAGGAGGAG
This 616-nucleotide ribosomal RNA is filed under the name uncultured bacterium. RNAcentral describes it as "bacterial SSU rRNA". It matches the Rfam family "Bacterial small subunit ribosomal RNA", at positions 338 to 1331 of the family's 1533-position model. The record is from RNAcentral.